GAGAAUAUAGUUUAAUACGUUAAAAUAUCAUUUUGUCAAAAUGAAUGAUACGGGUUCAAUUCCCGUUAUUCUCG
RNAcentral lists this transfer RNA (74 nucleotides) under Nephromyces sp. ex Molgula occidentalis. Its description in RNAcentral is "tRNA-Asp". It matches the Rfam family "tRNA". From Rfam's summary of the family: Transfer RNA (tRNA) molecules are approximately 80 nucleotides in length. Their secondary structure includes four short double-helical elements and three loops (D, anti-codon, and T loops). Further hydrogen bonds mediate the characteristic L-shaped molecular structure. tRNAs have two regions of fundamental functional importance: the anti-codon, which is responsible for specific mRNA codon recognition, and the 3' end, to which the tRNAs corresponding amino acid is attached (by aminoacyl-tRNA synthetases). tRNAs cope with the degeneracy of the genetic code in two manners: having more than one tRNA (with a specific anti-codon) for a particular amino acid; and 'wobble' base-pairing, i.e. permitting non-standard base-pairing at the 3rd anti-codon position. The record is from RNAcentral. Lineage: Eukaryota; Apicomplexa; Aconoidasida; Nephromycida.